Molecule: ribosomal RNA, 301 nt
Filed under: uncultured bacterium
Lineage: Bacteria
Description: partial 16S ribosomal RNA
Rfam family: Bacterial small subunit ribosomal RNA
Source: RNAcentral
CAGCCGCCGCGGGAAUACGAAGGGUGCAAGCGUUACUCGGAAUUACUGGGCGUAAAGCGUGCGUAGGUGGUGGUUUAAGUCCGUUGUGAAAGCCCUGGGCUCAACCUGGGAAUUGCAGUGGAUACUGGAUCACUAGAGUGUGGUAGAGGAUAGUGGAAUUUCCGGUGUAGCAGUGAAAUGCGUAGAGAUCGGAAGGAACACCUGUGGCGAAGGCGACUAUCUGGGCCAACACUGACACUGAGGCACGAAAGCGUGGGGAGCAAACAGGAUUAGAUACCCGGGUAGUCCCUGUCUCUUAUAC